Molecule: ribosomal RNA, 484 nt
Filed under: uncultured bacterium
Lineage: Bacteria
Description: partial 16S ribosomal RNA
Rfam family: Bacterial small subunit ribosomal RNA
Source: RNAcentral
AGUGAACGCUGGCGGCAGGCCUAACACAUGCAAGUCGAGCGGCAGCGCGGGGGCAACCCUGGCGGCAAGCGGCGGACGGGUGAGGAAUUCGUCGGAAUCUGCCUUUUUGUGGGGGAUAACGUAGGGAAACUUACGCUAAUACCGCAUACGUCCUACGGGAGAAAGUGGGGGACCGCAAGGCCUCACGCAGAAAGAUGAGCCGACGACCGAUUAGCUAGUUGGUGGGGUAAAGGCCCACCAAGGCGACGAUCGGUAGCUGGUCUGAGAGGAUGAUCAGCCACACUGGGACUGAGACACGGCCCAGACUCCUACGGGAGGCAGCAGUGGGGAAUAUUGGACAAUGGGCGCAAGCCUGAUCCAGCCAUGCCGCGUGUGUGAAGAAGGCCUUCGGGUUGUAAAGCACUUUUGUCCGGAAAGAAAUCCCUGGAGCUAAUACCUUCGGGGGAUGACGGUACCGGAAGAAUAAGCACCGGCUAACUUCGUG